RNAcentral lists this ribosomal RNA (460 nucleotides) under uncultured bacterium. RNAcentral describes it as "partial 16S ribosomal RNA". It matches the Rfam family "Bacterial small subunit ribosomal RNA", at positions 338 to 795 of the family's 1533-position model. The record is from RNAcentral.
CCUACGGGUGGCAGCAGUGAGGAAUAUUGGUCAAUGGCCGGAAGGCUGAACCAGCCAAGUCGCGUGAGGGAAUAAGGCCCUAUGGGUUGUAAACCUCUUUUGUCAGGGAGCAAAGGCGUCCACGUGUGGACGAGUGGAGAGUACCUGUAGAAAAAGCAUCGGCUAACACCGGGCCAGCAGCCGCGGUAAUACGGAGGAUGCGAGCGUAAUCCGGAUUGAUUGGGUUAAAGGGGUGCGUAGGCGGAGGGUCAAGUUAGCGGUAAAAUUUCGGGGCUCAACCACGUCGUGCCGUUGAAACUGACGCCCUUGAGUGAGUGAGAAGUAAGCGGAAUGCGUGGUGUAGCGGUGAAAUGCAUAGAUAUCACGCAGAACGCCGAUUGCGAAGGCAGCUUACCGGCGCUCAACUGACGCUGAGGCACGAAAGUGCGGGUAUCGAACAGGAUUAGAUACCCGGGUAGUC